This 471-nucleotide ribosomal RNA is filed under the name uncultured bacterium. Its description in RNAcentral is "bacterial SSU rRNA". It matches the Rfam family "Bacterial small subunit ribosomal RNA", at positions 28 to 501 of the family's 1533-position model. The record is from RNAcentral.
GACGAACGCUGGCGGCGUGCUUAACACAUGCAAGUCGAGCGGUAAGGCCUCUUUGGGGGUACACGAGCGGCGAACGGGUGAGUAACACGUGGGUGACCUGCCCUCAGCUCUGGGAUAAGCCUGGGAAACUGGGUCUAAUACCGGAUAGGACUUCUCAUCGCAUGGUGGGGGGUGGAAAGUUUUUUCGGCUGGGGAUGGGCCUGCGGUCUAUCAGCUUGUUGGUGGGGUGAUGGCCUACCAAGGCUACGACGGGUAGCCGGCCUGAGAGGGCGACCGGCCACACUGGGACUGAGACACGGCCCAGACUCCUACGGGAGGCAGCAGUGGGGAAUAUUGCGCAAUGGGCGGAAGCCUGACGCAGCGACGCCGCGUGGGGGAUGACGGCCUUCGGGUUGUAAACCUCUUCGUCAUCGACGAAGCCUUUGGUGUGAGCUGGGGGUGACGGUAGGUGGAGAAGAAGCACCGGCCAAC